AUUGAACGCUGGCGGCAUGCCUAACACAUGCAAGUCGAGCGAGUGAUGGGAGCUUGCUCCUGGAUUCGUCCGCAGACGGUUGAGUAAUGCCUAGGAAUCUGCCUGGUAGUGGGGGAUAACGUCCGAAAACGGGCGCUAAUCCCGCAUACGUCCUGUGGGCGCAAGUGGGGGAUCUUGAGUUUUCACGCUAUCGGAUGAGCCUAGGUCGGAUUAGAUGGGUGGUAGGGUAAAGGCCUACCAAGGCUACGAUCCGUAGCUGGUCUGAGAGGAUGAUCAGUCACACUGGGACUGAGACACGGCCCAGACUCCUGCGGGAGGCAGCAGUGGGGAAUAUUGGACAAUCGGCGAAAGCCUGAUCCAGUAAUGCCUCGUGAGUGAUGAAGGCCGGAGGGUUGUAAAGCUCUUUUACCCGGGAUGAUAAUGACAGUACCGGGAGAAUAAGCUCCGGCUAACUCCGUG
This 459-nucleotide ribosomal RNA is filed under the name uncultured bacterium. RNAcentral's name for it is "partial 16S ribosomal RNA". It matches the Rfam family "Bacterial small subunit ribosomal RNA", at positions 30 to 507 of the family's 1533-position model. The record is from RNAcentral.